GACGAACGCUGGCGGCAUGCUUAACACAUGCCAGUCGAACGGAAAGGCCCUGCUUUUGUGGGGUGCUCGAGUGGCGAACGGGUGAGUAACACGUGAGUAACCUGCCCUUGACUUUGGGAUAACUUCAGGAAACUGGGGCUAAUACCGGAUAGGAGCUCCUGCUGCAUGGUGGGGGUUGGAAAGUUUCGGCGGUUGGGGAUGGACUCGCGGCUUAUCAGCUUGUUGGUGGGGUAGUGGCUUACCAAGGCUUUGACGGGUAGCCGGCCUGAGAGGGUGACCGGCCACAUUGGGACUGAGAUACGGCCCAGACUCCUACGGGAGGCAGCAGUGGGGAAUAUUGCACAAUGGGCGGAAGCCUGACGCAGCAACGCCGCGUGCGGGAUGACGGCCUUCGGGUUGUAAACCGCUUUCGCCUGUGACGAAGCGUGAGUGACGGUAAUGGGUAAAGAAGCACCGGCUAACUACGUG
RNAcentral lists this ribosomal RNA (468 nucleotides) under uncultured bacterium. RNAcentral's name for it is "partial 16S ribosomal RNA". It matches the Rfam family "Bacterial small subunit ribosomal RNA", at positions 28 to 507 of the family's 1533-position model. The record is from RNAcentral.